Molecule: ribosomal RNA, 468 nt
Filed under: uncultured bacterium
Lineage: Bacteria
Description: partial 16S ribosomal RNA
Rfam family: Bacterial small subunit ribosomal RNA
Source: RNAcentral
GACGAACGCUGGCGGCGUGCUUAACACAUGCAAGUCGAACGGAAAGGCCCUGCUUUUGUGGGGUGCUCGAGUGGCGAACGGGUGAGUAACACGUGAGUAACCUGCCCUUGACUUUGGGAUAACUUCAGGAAACUGGGGCUAAUACCGGAUAGGAGCUCCUGCUGCAUGGUGGGGGUUGGAAAGUUUCGGCGGUUGGGGAUGGACUCGCGGCUUAUCAGCUUGUUGGUGGGGUAGUGGCUUACCAAGGCUUUGACGGGUAGCCGGCCUGAGAGGGUGACCGGCCACAUUGGGACUGAGAUACGGCCCAGACUACUACGGGAGGCAGCGGUGGGGAAUAUUGCACAAUGGGCGGAAGCCUGAUGCAGCAACGCCGCGUGCGGGAUGACGGCCUUCGGGUUGUAAACCGCUUUCGCCUGUGACGAAGCGUGAGUGACGGUAAUGGGUAAAGAAGCACCGGCUAACUACGUG